This 1438-nucleotide ribosomal RNA is filed under the name uncultured bacterium. RNAcentral's name for it is "bacterial SSU rRNA". It matches the Rfam family "Bacterial small subunit ribosomal RNA". The record is from RNAcentral.
AGAGUUUGAUCAUGGCUCAGAACGUACGCUGGCGGCACGCCUAACACAUGCAAGUCGAACGAAGUAGCAAUACUUAGUGGCAGACGGGUGAGUAACAUGUGGGUAUCUGCCCUUUGGCCUGGAAUAACACGAGGAAACUUGUGCUAAUACUGGAUAAGUCUUUACGGAGAAAGCUUUAUGCACCAUUGGAUGAGCCCGCACUUGAUUAGUUUGUUGGUGGGGUAAUGGCCUACCAAGACUGUGAUCAAUAGCUGAUUUGAGAGGAUGAUCAGCCACAUUGGGACUGAGACACGGCCCAAACUCCUACGGGAGGCAGCAGUGGGGAAUCUUGCACAAUGGAGGAAACUCUGAUGCAGCGAUGCCGCGUGAGUGAAGAAGGCCCUUGGGUUGUAAAGCUCUUUCGUCGGGGAAGAAAAUGACUGUACCCGAAUAAGAAGGUCCGGCUAACUUCGUGCCAGCAGCCGCGGUAAUACGAAGGGACCUAGCGUAGUUCGGAAUUACUGGGCUUAAAGAGUUCGUAGGUGGUUGAAAAAGUUGGUGGUGAAAUCCCAGAGCUUAACUCUGGAACUGCCAUCAAAACUUUUCAGCUAGAGUUGAUAGAGGAAAGCAGAAUUUCUAGUGUAGAGGUGAAAUUCGUAGAUAUUAGAAAGAAUACCAAUUGCGAAGGCAGCUUUCUGGAUCAUUACUGACACUGAGGAACGAAAGCAUGGGUAGCGAAGAGGAUUAGAUACCCUCGUAGUCCAUGCCGUAAACGAUGUGUGUUAGACGUUGGAAAUUUAUUUUCAGUGUCGCAGCGAAAGCGAUAAACACACCGCCUGGGGAGUACGACCGCAAGGUUAAAACUCAAAUGAAUUGACGGGGACCCGCACAAGUAGUGGAGCAUGUGGUUUAAUUCGAAGAUACGCGCAGAACCUUACCAACACUUGACAUGUUCGUCGCGACUUUAAGAGAUUAAAGUUUUCGGUUCGGCCGGACGAAACACAGGUGCUGCAUGGCUGUCGUCAGCUCGUGUCGUGAGAUGUUGGGUUAAGUCCCGCAACGAGCGCAACCCUCACUUUUAGUUGCCAUCAUUUAGUUGGGCACUCUGAAAGAACUGCCAGUGAUAAGCUGGAGGAAGGUGGGGAUGACGUCAAGUCCUCAUGGCCCUUACGUGUUGGGCUACACACGUGCUACAAUGGUAUCUACAACAGGAAGCGAAACAGCGAUGUUAAGCAAAUCCUUAAAAGAUACCUCAGUUCGGAUUGCACUCUGCAACUCGAGUGCAUGAAGCUGGAAUUACUAGUAAUCGUGGAUCAGCGUGCCACGGUGAAUGCGUUCCCGGGUCUUGUACACACCGCCCGUCACACCAUGGGAGUUGGUUCUACCUUAAGGCAAGGUUUAAUACCCUUGACUACGGUAUAGUCAGCGACUGGGGUGAAGUCGUAACAAGGUAACCGUA